RNAcentral lists this ribosomal RNA (410 nucleotides) under Cyclobacterium sp. RNAcentral's name for it is "bacterial SSU rRNA". It matches the Rfam family "Bacterial small subunit ribosomal RNA", at positions 505 to 916 of the family's 1533-position model. Lineage: Bacteria; Pseudomonadati; Bacteroidota; Cytophagia; Cytophagales; Cyclobacteriaceae. The record is from RNAcentral.
GUGCCAGCAGCCGCGGUAAUACGGAGGGUGCAAGCGUUGUCCGGAUUUAUUGGGUUUAAAGGGUGCGUAGGCGGCUGAUUAAGUCAGCGGUGAAAGUUUUCGGCUCAACCGAGAGACUGCCGUUGAUACUGGUUGGCUUGAGUUAUGGAGGGGUACAUGGAAUUUAUGGUGUAGCGGUGAAAUGCAUAGAUACCAUAAGGAACACCGAUAGCGAAGGCAUUGUACUGGCCAUAAACUGACGCUGAGGCACGAAAGCGUGGGUAGCGAACAGGAUUAGAUACCUGGUAGUCCACGCCGUAAACGAUGAUCACUCGCUUUAAAGUACGUAGUACUGUGAGGCCAAGCGAAAGCGUUAAAGUGAUCCACCUGGGGAGUACGGUCGCAAGAUUGAAACUCAAAGGAAUUGACGG